Molecule: ribosomal RNA, 786 nt
Filed under: uncultured bacterium
Lineage: Bacteria
Description: bacterial SSU rRNA
Rfam family: Bacterial small subunit ribosomal RNA
Source: RNAcentral
GCAAGUCGAACGAUCGCAAGAUAGUGGCGCACGGGUGAGGAACACGUAGCUAACCUGCCUUUGGGUCUGGGAUAACGUCGCGAAAGUGACGCUAAGACCGGAUAAGCUCCCGGGUUGUAGAGACCAGAGAGAAAAGGGGCAAGACGCCUGAAGAGGGGGCUGCGGCGCACCAGCUAGUUGGUGGGGUAAAGGCCUACCAAGGCAACGACGCGUAAGGGGUCUGAGAGGAUGAUCCCUCACACUGGGACUGAGACACGGCCCAGACUCCUACGGGAGGCAGCAGUGAGGAAUAUUGCACAAUGGGGGGAACCCUGAUGCAGCGACGCCGCGUGGGUGAUGACGGCCUUCGGGUUGUAAAGCCCUUUUGCCAUUGACGAGAACGGACGGUAGAUGGCGAAUAAGCCUCGGCUAACUACGUGCCAGCAGCCGCGGUAAAACGUAGGAGGCGAGCGUUAUCCGGAGUUACUGGGCGUAAAGCGUGCGCAGGCGGUGCCAUAAGUCAGGUGUGAAAGGUUCCGGCUCAACCGGGAAAACGCGCUUGAGACUGUGGGACUAGAGUGGGAUAGAGGGACGUGGAAUUCCGGGUGGAGCGGUGAAAUGUGUAGAGAUCCGGAGGAACACCAGAGGCGCAAGCGGCGUCCUGGGUCCCAACUGACGCUGAGGCACGAAAGCUUGGGGAGCGAACGGGAUUAGAGACCCCGGUAGUCCAAGCCGUAAACGAUGCAGACUCGGUGUCCACUCUCGCAAGGGAGGGGGCGCCACAGCUAACGCGAUAAGUCUGCCGCC